GACGAACGCUGGCGGCGUGCUUAACACAUGCAAGUCGAACGGAAAGGCCCUGCUUGCAGGGUACUCGAGUGGCGAACGGGUGAGUAACACGUGGGUGAUCUGCCCUGCACUUCGGGAUAAGCCUGGGAAACUGGGUCUAAUACCGGAUAGGAGCCAUUUUUAGUGUGAUGGUUGGAAAGUUUUUUUCGGUGUAGGAUGAGCUCGCGGCCUAUCAGCUUGUUGGUGGGGUAAUGGCCUACCAAGGCGGCGACGGGUAGCCGGCCUGAGAGGGUGGACGGCCACAUUGGGACUGAGAUACGGCCCAGACUCCUACGGGAGGCAGCAGUGGGGAAUAUUGCACAGUGGGCGCAAGCCUGAUGCAGCGACGCCGCGUGGGGGAUGACGGCCUUCGGGUUGUAAACUCCUUUCGCUAGGGACGAAGCUUUUUGUGACGGUACCUAGAUAAGAAGCACCGGCUAACUACGUG
This 466-nucleotide ribosomal RNA is filed under the name uncultured bacterium. RNAcentral's name for it is "partial 16S ribosomal RNA". It matches the Rfam family "Bacterial small subunit ribosomal RNA", at positions 28 to 507 of the family's 1533-position model. The record is from RNAcentral.